This 207-nucleotide ribosomal RNA is filed under the name uncultured bacterium. RNAcentral describes it as "partial 16S ribosomal RNA". It matches the Rfam family "Bacterial small subunit ribosomal RNA", at positions 568 to 774 of the family's 1533-position model. The record is from RNAcentral.
CGCGCAGGCGGCUUGGUAAGUCAGAUGUGAAAGCCCGGGGCUUAACCCCGGAAGUACAUUUGAUACUAUUAAGCUUGAGUAUGGGAGAGGGAAGUGGAAUUCCUGGUGUAGCGGUGAAAUGCGUAGAUAUCAGGAGGAACACCGGUGGCGAAGGCGACUUCCUGGACCAAUACUGACGCUGAGGCGCGAAGGCGUGGGGAGCAAACA